UGCACAAGAAGACAUCUACUCCACUGACCAGACAAGAAGAACCAAGGCAGACCAACUUGACGGCAAAGAGGAUUGGCAACCCGGGGGGGGAGAUCCCUAUCUGAAUGAUAUCUUUGCCACACAAGUGAUGCGCCGAGCAACUCCCAUAUCCGUGGUUGUCUUUGGCCGCCCGCAUCAAGCAAAGGGACUGGCUUUCACAUGUUGCUGCUGAGAGCAAUGCUUCCUCGACGCCCUUCGAGGGAAGGAAGCCCCAAAGGUGGAGAGAACACUGAGAUUAGCAGCCUUGGAUAGCCCAGCAGAGAGGAUGGCGACGAGGCAGAAACACGUAGCGAAAACCAUGCCGAACCGCUAACAAAGUGAAGAGAGGGCCAACUGCAAGCCAUGCGGAGGCAAGGCUGUAACACCCCCUGUUAAUGGCAGCUUAAGAAUAUCAUUAAGAAGUUAAUGGUGAAAUUUGGAGGAAAAGGGAAGAUUAUGCGCCAAAGUCAAAUUGGAGCCAAAUUUGGUCAAAUCUCAAUUUAAGAUUUGAAUUUGGUAAAAAAUAGACAAAAAUGGCAGGUCAAGCCUAACAAGUAUUUCAAACCCAAAGGAAUAAAGUUUGGAGUUAAAUUCUAGCUAUACAUACUACAAAUGAAAAAUCAGAAAUGAGAGAAAUUGAGUACUAUUCACAAUCUAAAAAUAUGCAAUUCCGAAACCAGCAAUGAGUACCCC
Molecule: long non-coding RNA, 711 nt
Filed under: Setaria italica (foxtail millet)
Lineage: Eukaryota; Viridiplantae; Streptophyta; Magnoliopsida; Poales; Poaceae
Description: long non-coding RNA (SITA_LNC001774)
Source: RNAcentral